RNAcentral lists this ribosomal RNA (359 nucleotides) under uncultured bacterium. RNAcentral's name for it is "bacterial SSU rRNA". It matches the Rfam family "Bacterial small subunit ribosomal RNA", at positions 29 to 371 of the family's 1533-position model. The record is from RNAcentral.
AACGAACGCUGGCGGCGUGGAUAAGACAUGCAAGUCGAGCGGGAACUUUCGCUGUAGCAAUACAGUGAAAGUUCUAGCGGCGAACGGGUGCGUAACACGUGGACAAUCUGCCUUAAAGUGGGGGAUAGCUCGGCGAAAGCCGAAUUAAUACCGCAUGUGAUGAGAGACGACAUCGUCUUGAAAUCAAAGCCGGGGCAACCUGGCGCUUUUUGAGGAGUCCGCGGCCAUCAGCUUGUUGGUGAGGUAACGGCUCACCAAGGCUAUGACGGGUAGCUGGUCUGAGAGGACGACCAGUCACACUGGAACUGAGACACGGUCCAGACACCUACGGGUGGCAGCAGUCGAGUAAUUUUUGACAA